Long non-coding RNA from Fukomys damarensis (Damara mole-rat), 861 nucleotides. Lineage: Eukaryota; Metazoa; Chordata; Mammalia; Rodentia; Bathyergidae. The record is from Ensembl.
AUCCAGUCAAGAUCUUCUCCCUCUUUCUAUAUUGAUAACAACUUCAUAAAGUAAGUGCUGUGAUGGUUCUUGUUGUACAUUUGGGUAAACUGAGUCAUAGUACGAUAAGUAACUUGCUUGAGAAUGGUGGAAUAUAAUUGCUUCCUCCAAGAAGCUUUUAAAUAUUUUUAGUACAGUCUAUUUGUGUCUUACCCAGGGAUGUCCCAACCCAGUAUUCUGGAAUUACUUAAGGAGUCCUACAGUUUAUAGAAUGGCUACAGUUAUGAUGAUGAGUGACUAGAUUUGAGAACUUCUGAUCUCAAAAACAAGAUCAAAGUGAAGCACCAGAGCACCAGAGGGUUUCCACUGGGGGAAAAGCAACAGCAAAAGACAAGAAAGGAUUUAAAUUCCAGCAUUAAUAAAUCACCAGAGAUUAUGGCCUGCAGAACAAGAGUCUAUCUGUGGCUGGGGACCCACACUUUCCUACAGCUCUCCUGACAAGCCUUCAAGCUGGCCUUAAUAGGGGGGAAUUAAAGCCAGCACUGUACUUCACAGACAGGAAACCGCAGUGCAGCUGACUGAUAAAGGUUGACUGCAAUGAUUUCCCCUGGACCAACCAACAGGAGACACUGAGAUCCAUCAGGAUGGAGUCUGCACCUUAUCAAGGGCUUCUGUGUAUUAGUUGCUGUUAAAGCUUCCUGACUUGAGAGUGAAUUUCGUGCCAUAGUUUCUUCUUGGUAACUGUAUCUGAAAUUAUUUAAAAUCUAAAAUUGUAGCCAAUGUAUUUGAGGCUGCUGCACUUGUGAUUGAGCACUGUUCAGCUUAUGUUAUUAAUUUUAUUAUUUUAUCAGCCUACAUGCAACUUGCCAAUAAUGAUGAAGU